AGUUAACGUAGCAGAAUCUGGCACUGCAAAAGACCUAAACCCUUUCUAUAGAGGUUCAAAUCCUCUCGUUAACU
Molecule: transfer RNA, 74 nt
Filed under: Dendropsophus minutus (lesser treefrog)
Lineage: Eukaryota; Metazoa; Chordata; Amphibia; Anura; Hylidae
Description: tRNA-Leu
Rfam family: tRNA
About the family: Transfer RNA (tRNA) molecules are approximately 80 nucleotides in length.
Source: RNAcentral